UAUGCACAAAGUCUCCCGGACAUGUUCUGAUCACGCCCUAAGUUUGCACAUCUUGGCCCGGACUUUGCACACUCCCAAAACAUCUCAAAUGGCCAAGUUGUGUAUCCUCGGGUUGUCUCGGUCCGUACGGAUCCGUACAGGUCCGUACCAUCCGUACUGCCUCGCCCUAAGUAUGCACACUUGCCCAUUUGCUCCCAAACACUCUUCUAAGUCCCUCCUGGACUUGGCCCUAUCUUUGCACAGCCAUAUGAGCACN
RNAcentral lists this long non-coding RNA (256 nucleotides) under Brassica napus (rape). RNAcentral's name for it is "long non-coding RNA (BNAP_LNC017854)". The record is from RNAcentral. Lineage: Eukaryota; Viridiplantae; Streptophyta; Magnoliopsida; Brassicales; Brassicaceae.